GACGAACGCUGGCGGCGUGCCUAAUACAUGCAAGUCGAACGCAGUGGGGGCGGGGGAGUAACACGUGGGUAACCUCCCAUCAGAGGGGAUAACACUUGGAGACAGGGGCUAAACCGAUACUGAUGGAUGGACCCGCGGUGCAUUAGCUAGUUGGUGAGGUAACGGCUCACCAAGGCCACGAUGCAUAGCCGACCUGAGAGGGUGAUCGGCCACACUGUGACUGAGACACGGCCCAGACUCCUACGGGAGGCAGCAGUAGGGAAUCUUCGGCAAUGGACGCAAGUCUGACCGAGCAAAGCCGCGUGAGUGAAGAAGGUUUUCGGAGCGUAAAACUCUUUUGGUAGAGAAGCGCUACCUAACCAGAAAGCCACGGCUAACUACGUGCCAGCAGCCGCGGUAAUAC
Molecule: ribosomal RNA, 403 nt
Filed under: uncultured bacterium
Lineage: Bacteria
Description: partial 16S ribosomal RNA
Rfam family: Bacterial small subunit ribosomal RNA
Source: RNAcentral